This 235-nucleotide ribosomal RNA is filed under the name uncultured Staphylococcus sp. Its description in RNAcentral is "partial 16S ribosomal RNA". It matches the Rfam family "Bacterial small subunit ribosomal RNA", at positions 105 to 334 of the family's 1533-position model. Lineage: Bacteria; Bacillati; Bacillota; Bacilli; Caryophanales; Staphylococcaceae. The record is from RNAcentral.
GGUGAGUAACACGUGGAUAACCUACCUAUAAGACUGGGAUAACUUCGGUAAACCGGAGCUAAUACCGGAUAAUAUUUUGAACCGCAUGGUUCAAAAGUGAAAGGCGGUCUUGCUGUCACUUAUAGAUGGAUCCGCGCUGCAUUAGCUAGUUGGUAAGGUAACGGCUUACCAAGGCAACGAUGCAUAGCCGACCUGAGAGGGUGAUCGGCCACACUGGAACUGAGACACGGUCCAG